Molecule: long non-coding RNA, 1586 nt
Organism: Chenopodium quinoa (quinoa)
Lineage: Eukaryota; Viridiplantae; Streptophyta; Magnoliopsida; Caryophyllales; Amaranthaceae
Exons: 5
Source: RefSeq, a predicted model, not a curated record
UUUCGAGUUGGGUUACGGUUACGAAUCGCUCAACCCUAUCUCAAAGUUUCAGGUUUGUGUCAACCUAACAAGCCGAAAACAAUUUUUUUAUUUAAUUUAUUUUAGCUAAUCCCUAUCUUUUAAAAAGUGGGAGAAUAUAACCUUAAAAAUAUUUAUUUACCAUUAUACCCCCGUUAAUAUUGACUGUUUGUCUCGCUGUGCGUUAUCCCUGAUGUGACUAACUAAUGCUUUUCCUCUUUCUUCCUCAUAAGCGUCCCUUUCUCUCCUUCCUCCUCUACCUCUCUACUCUCUCUCCUCGAUUGAAGCAACUCCAUCGAAGUAGUUUAUGCGGUGAAGCAAACAAUUAGUUCUCCAUUGAAGCGCCUACUGUGCUUUAUCUCCUCCAUCGAAGUAGUUUCUAACUUGCUGCAUUGAGGUUCUCUCUACAUUCACUCUUGUUCGCCCCCAAAUUUUGGCGUUUCUAAUUACACGACUUCGUUAAUCUCGUUUUUCUGAUACAUAUUUCUGUAGCUGUUGAAUUUGUAAGCUCAAUUUAGCGCAAUCGAAGUGGAAUUGCUGAACUUUGCAUUUGGAUAUUCUUUAAAUCGACACUCAAUUGAUUGUUGGAGUUGGCUGUAAACACAGCACAAAACAAGAUUGCAAUGAUGAAUGUGCAAAUAAGGCUAUUAUGCUGGAGUUCCCUGCAAGGAUAACAAAAUCGAGUGCUUAGAAGUGUCAGAAUAAUUAAUGGUUGCUUUGAGAGUUUGAGUCCACUAAAGGGAAUGAGCAUUAAAGGAAAAAGUAGUCUCGCUCAAGGCCAGAUGUGAUUGAGAGGCUUAACAAUAUGAGAGGGAGAGGCAUGGCUUCAAUGUAUUCGUGGUCUUCUUAAAGGUAGUCAUACAUUGUCUUGUCAUCAUUAUUUUUUAAGGCUCAAUACGUAAGUUUCCAUAUUCUUUAUGUCUAACACCUGCUGGACAUGAAUAUAGCAAGGUAGUGGUGGAAUCAUAGUUAGUGUUAUAAGUUGCAUACUAUUAAUUUGGAUGCAUAGUAGUGUAGCUGAAGUAGAUGUAGCAAAAACUUGAAUGUUCAAUAUGAAGCCCAAGGAACUAAGGAACUCAAGUGUAGGCUGGUGAAUCGGUUGGAUUUCGUAGACUGUAAUUACAGAAAACUGAUGUCCAUGCUCAUGAUAUUAAAUUUACAAGGGUAUUGGUUCGUGAAAGUGAAAUCCGAAAGAUCAUAUGAGCAGCUCUAGCAAGGAGGGGGGAAAAAAACUAGAAGCUAAGACAAAGGUUGGUCAAAUACAGCAACUAGAACUCGUGUCCAGGUGCAAAGCCACAUUUCUUGAUGUAUUGGAGGCGUGCUUGCAUCACAUAAAAGAAGUCAGUUUCAACCGUUCGUUACAAUUACUGGUAUUGUCUUGUCAUGACUGUCACAAGAAUUCUUCGAUUUGGCAUCUAUUAAUCUAAAGUUUUUAUCGACAUGGACCAAGGCUAUAAUUGAAAGUUAAAAUCAUUGUAAUUAUAACACCAUACAUCUGUACAAGUAAUUAAACAGGUUCCUAUCUUUCAUACUUGUUCGUUAUAAUGCAAGUUUUUUUUUGUCGAUAA